RNAcentral lists this ribosomal RNA (253 nucleotides) under uncultured bacterium. RNAcentral describes it as "partial 16S ribosomal RNA". It matches the Rfam family "Bacterial small subunit ribosomal RNA", at positions 524 to 776 of the family's 1533-position model. The record is from RNAcentral.
UACGUAGGGGGCUAGCGUUGUCCGGAAUCACUGGGCGUAAAGCGCGUGUAGGCGGUCUGCUAAGUCUGAUGUGAAAGCCCGGGGCUCACCCCCGGAAGUGCAUUGGAAACUGGCAGACUGGAGUCCCGGAGAGGAGGGUGGAAUUCCUGGUGUAGCGGUGAAAUGCGUAGAUAUCAGGAGGAACACCGGUGGCGAAGGCGGCUUUCUGGACACUAACUGACGCUGAGACGCGAAAGCGUGGGGAGCAAACAGG